UAGGGAAUCUUCCGCAAUGGACGCAAGUCUGACGGAGCAACGCCGCGUGAGUGAAGAAGGAUUUCGGUUCGUAAAACUCUGUUGUUAGAGAAGAACAGCGCAUAGAGUAACUGUUAUGCGUGUGACGGUAUCUAACCAGAAAGCCACGGCUAACUACGUGCCAGCAGCCGCGGUAAUACGUAGGUCCCGAGCGUUGUCCGGAUUUAUUGGGCGUAAAGCGAGCGCAGGCGGUUAGAUAAGUCUGAAGUUAAAGGCAGUGGCUCAACCAUUGUAGGCUUUGGAAACUGUUUAACUUGAGUGCAGAAGGGGAGAGUGGAAUUCCAUGUGUAGCGGUGAAAUGCGUAGAUAUAUGGAGGAACACCGGUGGCGAAGGCGACUUUCUGGUCUGUAACUGACGCUGAUGUGCGAAAGCGUGGGGAUCAAACAGG
Molecule: ribosomal RNA, 428 nt
Filed under: Bacteroidota bacterium
Lineage: Bacteria; Pseudomonadati; Bacteroidota
Description: Bacteroidetes bacterium partial 16S ribosomal RNA
Rfam family: Bacterial small subunit ribosomal RNA
Source: RNAcentral